AUUGAACGCUGGCGGCAGGCCUAACACAUGCAAGUCGAACGGCAGCACGAUAAAGCUUGCUUCUUUGCUGACGAGUGGCGCACGGGUGAGUAAUAUAUGGGAAACUGCCCUGUGGCGGGGGAUAACUAGUGGAAAGAGUAGCUAAUACCGCAUACACUCGCAAGGGGAAAGAGGGGGACCUCCUGGCCUCUUGCCAUAGGAUCUGCCCAGAUGUGAUUAGCUAGUAGGUGGGGUAAAGGCUCACCAAGGCGACGAUCCGUAGCUGGUCUGAGAGGAUGAUCAGCCACACUGGAACUGAGACACGGUCCAGACUCCUACGGGAGGCAGCAGUGGGGAAUAUUGGACAAUGGGCGCAAGCCUGAUCCAGCCAUGCCGCGUGUGUGAAGAAGGCCUUCGGGUUGUAAAGCACUUUUGUCGGGAAAGAAAAGACUCAGGUUAAUACCUCGGGUCAUUGACGGUACCCGAAGAAGAAGCACCGGCUAACUUCGUG
Molecule: ribosomal RNA, 490 nt
Filed under: uncultured bacterium
Lineage: Bacteria
Description: partial 16S ribosomal RNA
Rfam family: Bacterial small subunit ribosomal RNA
Source: RNAcentral